UACGAAGGGUGCAAACGUUGCUCGGAAUCAUUGGGCGUAAAGGGCGCGUAGGCGGCCUGCUAAGUCGAACGUGAAAUCCCCGGGCUCAACCCGGGAACUGCGUCCGAUACUGGUUGGCUUGAAUCCGGGAGAGGGAUGCGGAAUUCCAGGUGUAGCGGUGAAAUGCGUAGAUAUCUGGAGGAACACCGGUGGCGAAGGCGGCAUCCUGGACCGGCAUUGACGCUGAGGCGCGAAAGCCAGGGGAGCAAACGGG
This 253-nucleotide ribosomal RNA is filed under the name uncultured bacterium. RNAcentral describes it as "partial 16S ribosomal RNA". It matches the Rfam family "Bacterial small subunit ribosomal RNA", at positions 524 to 776 of the family's 1533-position model. The record is from RNAcentral.